AUAAAUUGACAAAAUCACACCAGUUUAAAACAUUGUUAGAUGGUUCAGUGGGUGAAAUAAACUUAGAAAGCAAAAGAUCCCAAACUAGUUAAUAUAGAGAGUUCAUAUCAUAAAAUGUCGAACCAUAGAUGAGGCUGGAAUUUCUAAAACAACAUAGUCAUAAGGUAGGCACGGCACAGCCUCCAAGCCAUGAACAAAAUAUACGUAACUAGAUCGCUACACAACUAAUAAAAGGAUAAAUCAACAUCAACUGUUAUUCCUAUAGUAAAAUAGUCCUACCAUACACGCUGAUGAUGAUCUCCUAAUUGUAGGUUGAUGGGAACCUUAGGAUGAUUUGUGCUUUAAUUUUCUAUUCCCAGAAGGUGCCCUGGGUGGUGUCCAUGGUGUGGUUUCUGCUCAUGGGGAGGCUUCUCUCCCUUACCUUUGGGUGGUAUUACAUAUUUGUGUGGCUCACUUAAGAGGUGUCUAUGAGGAGGUUUAGGUUCAUGAGGUGCUCCCUUUCCCUUACCCUUGGAUGGUUUGUCACCGGGGAAUGGUUUCAUGGAUGGCUUACCGUCAGGGAAUCCUUCAACAUGUGGAGGUUUACCCCCUGAGUGUCGUGGAGGUUUAUGUGUGUCCUCAACUUCCACAUUCAAUAGGUGUCUAUGAGGAGGUUUGGGUUCAUGAGGUGCUCCCUUUCCCUUACCCUUGGAUGGUUUGUCACCAGGGAAUCCUUCAACAUGCGGAGGUUUACCCCCUGAAUGUCGUGGAGGUUUACCACCUGAUUGUUGUGGAGGUUUAUGUGUGCCCUCAACUUCCACACUCAAUAGGUGUCUGUGAGGAGGUUUGGGUUCAUGAGGUGCCCCUUUUCCCUUACCCUUGGAUGGUUUGUCACCAGGGAAUCCUUCAACAUGUGGAGGUUUACCCCCUGAAUGUCGUGGAGGUUUACCACCUGAGUGCUGUGGAGGUUUAUGUGUGCCCUCAACUUCCACACUCAAUAAGUGUCUAUGAGGAGGUUUGGGUUCAUGAGGUGCUCCCUUUCCCUUACCCUUGGAUGGUUUUUCACCAGGGAAUGGCUUCAUGGGUGCUUUAUCGGUAGGGAACCCCUCAACAUGUGGAGGUUUACCCCCCGAGUGUCUUGGAGGUUUACCACCUGAAUGUCGUGGAGGUUUAUGUGUGCCCUCAACUUCCACACUCAAUAAGUUUCUAUGAGGAGGUUUUUCCCCAUGUGGUGGCUCCUGUCCUUUACCGCCAGGUCCACUGUGUAUUGGCGGUCGGUGUUCAGGGAAUGGCUUGUGUUGUGGUUGCUUCUCACCUGGGAAAGGCUUCCCCUUGGGAAGCUCAUUAUCAUGAUGUUGGUUAGCU
This 1344-nucleotide long non-coding RNA is filed under the name Gossypium barbadense (sea-island cotton). RNAcentral describes it as "long non-coding RNA (GBAR_LNC020076)". The record is from RNAcentral. Lineage: Eukaryota; Viridiplantae; Streptophyta; Magnoliopsida; Malvales; Malvaceae.